RNAcentral lists this ribosomal RNA (241 nucleotides) under uncultured bacterium. RNAcentral describes it as "partial 16S ribosomal RNA". It matches the Rfam family "Bacterial small subunit ribosomal RNA", at positions 112 to 353 of the family's 1533-position model. The record is from RNAcentral.
AAUGUCUGGGAAACUGCCUGAUGAGGGGGAGUAACUACUGGAAACGGUAGCUAAUACCGCAUAACGUCGCAAGACCAAANAGGGGGACCGUUCGGGCCUCUUGCCAUCGGAUGUGCCCAGAUGGGAUUAGCUAGUAGGUGGGGUAACGGCUCACCUAGGCGACGAUCCCUAGCUGGUCUGAGAGGAUGACCAGCCACACUGGAACUGAGACACGGCCCAGACUCCUACGGGAGGCAGCAUG